Long non-coding RNA from Glycine soja, 1419 nucleotides. RefSeq lists it as uncharacterized. The transcript is spliced from 3 exons. The record is from RefSeq and is a predicted model, not a curated record. NCBI's taxonomy places the organism in Eukaryota, Viridiplantae, Streptophyta, Magnoliopsida, Fabales, Fabaceae.
UUUUGUGGUUAUUUAUCAUGUGUAGGGGUCUAGUAGUCAACAUCCUGGCCAGAGGAAUAGCUCUGAGCUUGCUUCUGGACUUUUAAGUCGAUGGCUGUCUUUUCAUCAUCAUGGUGGAGUACAUGAUGAGAAAUCUAUUGCUCAUCACACUGUGAACUUGCUUACAUCAACAAUUAAAGUAGAUACUGACCAAUCAGAUUUGAGGUUUUGCUUCCGGUUCAUUUCACCAACAAAGAACUAUACUUUGCAGGCUUACAACCAUUUGUGACCCUUUUUCAUUGGGAUCUUCCCCAAGCUUUGCAAGAUGAAUACGGUGGCUUCUUAAAUCCACGCAUUAUAAAUGAUUUUCAAGACUACGCGGAACUUUGUUUUAAGGAAUUUGGAGAUAGGGUGAAGUAUUGGGUUACUUUAAAGUUACUAAAUUAUGAUUGUUGGUAGAAAUAGUUAGUUUACAGCUUCCUGUACUAAGAUUGAAGUUUAAAUUAAUCUUGAAUUGUUGCUUAAAAUUAAUUUUAUUCAUUGAUAGUUAGUUUACAGCUUCCUGCGCAAGGUCAGAUCUUUUCAUGAAUCUUUUCUGCAUUCUGCAGGUAAUGACUUGCAGGCCAAGGUCAGAUCUAUAAUUUUAUUCAUUAAAAUUAAUUGUUGCUUAAAAUUAAUUUUAUUCAUUAAUUAUGAUGAGGACACAUAAUUAAAUUGUUAGUGUUUAUUACUAUAUUGUUGUUUUAGGAAUACUAGAUUAUGUGAAGUUGGGGACCAAACCCCAUAAAUUUUGAUAUGAAUCAAUACUUUGUGAAAACUUUGCUUCUUACCACGUGAUUGAAUGUGAUGCUGAUACUCUGGAAACCAAUUGUAAAUUUGUGCAUCUGUCUAAGGUUUAAAACUAUUCCAUGAUUUCCAUCCUCAUGGGAAUAAGUCUACUAAUUUUUAAUAUUCAGUAUGUUAAAUAAAGUUUUUAAUCCGUGCAUGUGUGAAUAUGAACUUGAAAUGGUUGUUUUUUUAAUUCUUGGUAUUAAUGUAGAUGUAAAUGUGGCUGGUAGGUGAGAACUGAGAUACAGGCAAAUUUGGAUAUAGAUGUAGAUUUAUAAAUUGAGGAAAAUUAAUCUGUAUUUACAUUUUUCAGUUGUGGAUGUUUUGGGGAGGAGGUAAUACUUUAUUUACGACUUUUUUAAGCUGGACUACUUAGAUAGAUAGACUGCACAUAACAAACAUCCUUGUCUUUUAACUUAAAUGUUUGAGAGGAAGCAAGUUUUUUGGAUUGAUUGGUGAGUAUAAUAAGCACUUACAUCUUUCAAGCUCAGGAUUAUAAAUUGUUCAAUUGAGGACUCAUCAAUUAAUGUAUAUAUGUAUAUAGUUUGAAGGUACACCAACGAAAGGUGGUGUAUAUAUAUGUGUAUAUAUAUAUAUAUAUGUAUAUUGUUA